Oncorhynchus tshawytscha (Chinook salmon) is the source of this 1371-nucleotide long non-coding RNA. The record is from Ensembl. Lineage: Eukaryota; Metazoa; Chordata; Actinopteri; Salmoniformes; Salmonidae.
CAGAUUUGUACUUUGUCAGCUCGGGGGUUUGAACUUGCAAUCUUCCGGUUACUAGUCCACCGCUCUAACCACUAGGCUACCCUGCCUGUAGACUAAUCUGCAUCUAUACGAAGACGAGUGAAUGACUAUGAUUUUAGUCCUUACUUUUAUCGUCUGAAAAAUGGUUACAACAUAGACUUAUAAACCCUAUAUGCCAUCAUGUCCCCAAAUAAGCAUAGCACAAAAAUGAGUUUUGGUCAAAUAAUUUCUAAAUCAACACUUUCCUCACUAAAUCGUGGCAAAUGGAUCACUUUGGAUGGUCACUUUGUCAAUCUGAAACAACUUGGAAACAUGCAAACACACACACUGAAUAAGGUUGGGUCUGGGGAGUGAGGAGUGGGCUAGACUAAAUAAUAUUGUAGCCUUUGUGCCGCUGUGCAUAAUGAAAACGGCUUAUCAUGAUGAUGUCCCCGGGCGUUAUUUCGACUUGUUCCAUUUAUCCGUGCUGAAUUAAGGGAAUGUCACCUGAACCAUGUGACCACGACACCGUUUCGCUCGUCUUCGGGAUUGAGAACAAUAAGAGAAAGAGAAAAUAAAGAGAGAAAUUGGGAAGCGAUUAAAACGAAUAGAAGCCAUCUCUACAUGAGAGACAUACUAUUUCCUCAUUUAUUUAACAUUCAUUGAAUUGAAUUAUCCGUCCUUUUUAUCUUUAAAUUGUCUGCAUGUUUACCUUAAAUAUGCAAAUUUAUGUUUGCUGCAAGUGUUCUAUGAUUUAAUAUUUUUUUUCAUCAAUAUAUGCCUACGGGUCCGUCCUGAAUUAUUGGCACCCUAGGUAAAUAUGGAUAAAAAAGGCUGUUAAGAAGUAAAUUGAGAAGUAAAUAUUUUAUUUUAAAAAUAUGAAGAAUUCUUGGCAGGCCAGCAUUUAGUACCUUGUGCCCCCUCCCUUUAAUAACAGUUCUGAGUCAUCUCCUAGAAUGUUUUGAUGAGGUGGGAGAACACCCCCUCCCCUUUAAUAACAGUUCUGAGUCAUCUCCUAGAAUGUUUUGAUGAGGUGGGAGAACACCCCCUCCCCUUUAAUAACAGUUCUGAGUCAUCUCCUAGAAUGUUUUGAUGAGGUGGGAGAACACCCUCUCCCUUUAAUAACAGUUCUGAGUCAUCUCCUAGAAUGUUUUGAUGAGGUGGGAGAACACCCUCUCCCUUUAAUAACAGUUCUGAGUCAUCUCCUAGAAUGUUUUUGAUGAGGUGGGAGAACACCCCCUCCCCUUGGGGUUUAGUGUCAGGGGACUGGGAUGGCCAUAGCAAAAGCUUAAUUCUGUGGUCAGUGAACCAUUUUCGUGUGGAUUUGGAGGUAUGGUUUGGAUCAUUGUCCUGCUGGAAGAUCCAACAACGACC